This 259-nucleotide long non-coding RNA is filed under the name Phaseolus vulgaris (common bean). RNAcentral describes it as "long non-coding RNA (PVUL_LNC003337)". The record is from RNAcentral. Lineage: Eukaryota; Viridiplantae; Streptophyta; Magnoliopsida; Fabales; Fabaceae.
CUUUUCUUCUCUCUUUUUCCACUUUCUCUCUCCUCACUUACUUUAUUAUAUUUUUAAGUUUUAUAUUGGGUUCCAUUGGGUAUUACUCUUUUAAAGAGUAACUUGCUAGUUCUGAUCCUCGGAAAUAUCCGAGAAGUUCCUGUUGUAUCCUGGGGGACUUACGCAAUACACCGCGGAUAAGUCCUUACGGACAGUGAUUACUCACGCCUCGGGAAAUCUUUUAUUUUGUGUUCGUUUUAAAGCCAAAUACUUCAACAAU